AACGAACGCUGGCGGCAUGCCUAACACAUGCAAGUCGAACGAGACCCUUCGGGUCUAGUGGCGCACGGGUGCGUAACGCGUGGGAAUCUGCCCUUCGGUUCGGAAUAACAGUGGGAACUACUGCUAAUACCGGAUAAUGACGUAAGUCCAAAGAUUUAUCGCCGAGGGAUGAGCCCGCGUAGGAUUAGCUAGUUGGUGGGUAAAGG
This 206-nucleotide ribosomal RNA is filed under the name uncultured bacterium. RNAcentral's name for it is "partial 16S ribosomal RNA". It matches the Rfam family "Bacterial small subunit ribosomal RNA", at positions 29 to 263 of the family's 1533-position model. The record is from RNAcentral.